Molecule: long non-coding RNA, 1005 nt
Filed under: Gouania willdenowi (blunt-snouted clingfish)
Lineage: Eukaryota; Metazoa; Chordata; Actinopteri; Blenniiformes; Gobiesocidae
Description: lncRNA (ENSGWIG00000021132.1)
Source: RNAcentral
CCUGUACGACCCAUUAGGGUUCCUAGCUCCCUUUAUUCUUGAAGGAAAGAAAGUGUUACAAGAAAUGUGUCAAAAGGGUGUUGGUUGGGAUGAUCCUCUUCCUGUUGAGCUAAAGAUAAGGUGGGAGGGUUGGAUGAAUGAUUUGGAAAAUCUUAAGUUAAUUCAGAUUCCCCGAUGUUUUAAACCUGCUAACUUUGGUGAAGUGCAGAGUGUAGAGCUUCAUCACUUUUCUGAUGCGAGUAGUCAAGGAUACGGUCAGUGCUCUUACAUCAGAUUAGUGGGUGAUCACAAAGUACACUGCACACUAGUCAUGGGUAAAGCAAGAGUGGCACCUACCAAAAUAGUCACCAUCCCAAGACUAGAGCUGACAGCUGCAGUAACCUCAGCUGCUGUUGGGUGCAUGUUGAAAAGAGAGUUAGAUCUUAAAGUUGAUAAAGAGUACUUUUGGGCAGAUUCAAAAGUAGUGCUGGGUUAUAUUAAUAAUGACGCAAAAAGAUUUCAUGUUUUUGUGGCUAAUCGCGUCCAAAGAAUUCAUGAAACCAGUAACUCAGAGCAAUGGUACUACAUAGGCACAAACGAAAAUCCAGCCGACCACGCCUCAAGAGGCCUGAAAGUCAGAGACCUUAUCACCUCAAAUUGGUUCACGGGUCCCAAGUUCUUAUGGAACAAGGAGAUAGUCACGGAGCAAAGCACACCUGAGCUUAUGGUGGGAGAUCCAGAAAUCAAAACAAUACAAGUGUUGCAAACCACUGCUACGCAACAGUUCCAUAUUAAAGAGUUCUUGUCAAGAUUCUCAAAAUGGACUACUGCAAUAAACGUCAUUGCUCGCAUCCAACGAAUGGCUAAAAAGAUAAAAACAGCAGACCCUCCAAAUGUAGAGGAAAGACAACAAGCAAUGCUAACUCUUGUGAAGCUUGCACAACAAGAUGCCUUUCAGAAAGACUUUAACAAACUCAAUCAAUCACAAAAGCUGUCCCGCAACCACAGACUCUAUGAACUUGACCC